GAUGAACGCUGGCGGUGUGCCUAAUACAUGCAAGUCGAGCGAACAGACGAGGAGCUUACUCCUCUGACGUUAGCGGCGGACGGGUGAGUAACACGUGGAUAACCUACCUAUAAGACUGGGAUAACUUCGGGAAACCGGAGCUAAUACCGGAUAACAUGUUGAACCGCAUGGUUCGACAGUGAAAGACGGUCUUGCUGUCACUUAUAGAUGGAUCCGCGUCGCAUUAGCUAGUUGGUAAGGUAACGGCUUACCAAGGCAACGAUGCGUAGCCGACCUGAGAGGGUGAUCGGCCACACUGGAACUGAGACACGGUCCAGACUCCUACGGGAGGCAGCAGUAGGGAAUCUUCCGCAAAGGGCGAAAGCCUGACGGAGCAACGCCGCGUGAGUGAAGAAGGUCUUCGGAUCGUAAAACUCUGUUAUUAGGGAAGAACAAAUGUGUAAGUAACUAUGCACGUCUUGACGGUACCUAAUCAGAAAGCCACGGCUAACUACGUG
This 497-nucleotide ribosomal RNA is filed under the name uncultured bacterium. Its description in RNAcentral is "partial 16S ribosomal RNA". It matches the Rfam family "Bacterial small subunit ribosomal RNA", at positions 28 to 507 of the family's 1533-position model. The record is from RNAcentral.